Molecule: ribosomal RNA, 975 nt
Filed under: Triticum aestivum (bread wheat)
Lineage: Eukaryota; Viridiplantae; Streptophyta; Magnoliopsida; Poales; Poaceae
Description: partial small subunit ribosomal RNA
Source: RNAcentral
AAUCCCAUUGAUGUACUAAACAUUAAGUUGAAGAGAUUCAAAAAAUUCUUUAAAGGAUGGGGUGCAAAUCUUUUUGGCAAAUCAAGAAAGAGGAGAAAGGACCUCAGGGAGGAGUUAGGGCAUCUGGAAAAACUGGAAGAAAUGGAUGUGUUGUCUCCUGAGCUAUAUGAGAGGAAAGUUGAGAUAUCGGCAGAAUUAUAUAAUCUGUUGGUGGAGGAGGAGGUGGCUUGGAUGCAAAAAUCACACGAAAAUUGGCUCUUGAAAGGAGAUAGAAAUACUGACUACUUCCACAGAAUUGUGAAUGGGAGGAGGCGGAGAAAUACUAUUUUUUCUCUUAGUUGUGGGGAUGUGAUUAUUGAAGGGAAUAAUAAUCUCUUGGAACAUGCCACAAAAUUCUAUAAGGACCUUUUUGGGCCAGCAGUUGGGAACUUAUGUAAAAUGAAGGAAGAUAUGUGGGAAUCACAAGAGAAAUUGUCAGACAUUGACAACUUUAUCCUUACUAGACCCUUUUCUGAAACAGAAGUCAAGAAUGCGCUAUUCUCUAUGAAACCAAAUAAAGCUCCUGGUCCAGAUAAUAUUCCUAUUGAGUUUUUCCAACAUUGUUGGGAAAUAGUGAAAAAUGAAGUGAUGAUGUUAUUUGACUGGUUCCAUGAUAACAAACUGGAUGUGCAGCGUCUCAAUUAUGGGAUCAUAACUCUACUGCCUAAGGUUGUAGGGGCAAACAAGAUUCAGCAAUUUAGGCCUAUAUGCUUGCUUAGAUGUAUAUACAAGCUGAUCACCAAAGUACUGACUAUUAGGCUGGAACCUUUUGUGGAUAUUCUUUUCAGUAGACACCAGAAUGCUUUCAUUAAGAAGCGUGACAUCAUGGAUGGGAUCAUGUCCCUGCAUGAAAUCUUGCACCAUACUUACAAUAGGAAGAAAACUGGUAUUGUGUUGAAACUUGACUUCGAAAAGGCUUACGAUAAAGUCAACUAG